UCUCUAUACACCUGUUGCUUUGGCGGGCCCACCGGGGCCACCUGGUCGCCGGGGGACAUCUGUCCCCGGGCCCGCGCCCGCCGAAGCGCUCUGUGAACCCUGAUGAAGAUGGGCUGUCUGAGUACUAUGAAAAUUGUCAAAACUUUCAACAAUGGAUCUCUUGGUUCCGGCAUCGAUGAAGAACGCAGCGAAAUGCGAUAAGUAAUGUGAAUUGCAGAAUUCCGUGAAUCAUCGAAUCUUUGAACGCACAUUGCGCCCCCUGGCAUUCCGGGGGGCAUGCCUGUCCGAGCGUCAUUUCUGCCCUCAAGCACGGCUUGUGUGUUGGGUGCGGUCCCCCCGGGGACCUGCCCGAAAGGCAGCGGCGACGUCCGUCUGGUCCUCGAGCGUAUGGGGCUUUGUCACUCGCUCGGGAAGGACUGGCGGAGGUUGGUCACCACCAAAAUUUUACCACGGUUGACCUCGGAUCAGGUAGGAGUUACCCGCUGAACUUAAGC
This 494-nucleotide ribosomal RNA is filed under the name Talaromyces sp. JHD03. RNAcentral's name for it is "eukaryotic LSU rRNA". The stretch from base 141 to 294 matches the Rfam family "5.8S ribosomal RNA". Lineage: Eukaryota; Fungi; Ascomycota; Eurotiomycetes; Eurotiales; Trichocomaceae. The record is from RNAcentral.